RNAcentral lists this transfer RNA (74 nucleotides) under Listeria monocytogenes. RNAcentral describes it as "tRNA-Ile". It matches the Rfam family "tRNA". Rfam says of the family: Transfer RNA (tRNA) molecules are approximately 80 nucleotides in length. Their secondary structure includes four short double-helical elements and three loops (D, anti-codon, and T loops). RNAcentral also lists the same sequence under 1 other name. The record is from RNAcentral. Lineage: Bacteria; Bacillati; Bacillota; Bacilli; Caryophanales; Listeriaceae.
GGGCCUAUAGCUCAGCUGGUUAGAGCGCACGCCUGAUAAGCGUGAGGUCGAUGGUUCGAGUCCAUUUAGGCCAC